UACGGGGGGGGCAAGCGUUGUUCGGAAUUACUGGGCGUAAAGGGCUCGUAGGCGGCCAACUAAGUCAGACGUGAAAUCCCUCGGCUUAACCGGGGAACUGCAUCUGAUACUGGAUGGCUAGAGAUUGGGAGAGGGAUGCGGAAUUCCAGGUGUAGCGGUGAAAUGCGUAGAUAUCUGGAGGAACACCGGUGGCGAAGGCGGCGAUCUGGACGGAUAUUGACGCUGAGGUGCGAAAGCGUGGGGAGCAAACAGG
Molecule: ribosomal RNA, 253 nt
Filed under: uncultured bacterium
Lineage: Bacteria
Description: partial 16S ribosomal RNA
Rfam family: Bacterial small subunit ribosomal RNA
Source: RNAcentral